AUACAUGCAGUCGAGCGAACAGACGAGGAGCUUGCUCCUCUGACGUUAGCGGCGGACGGGUGAGUAACACGUGGAUAACCUACCUAUAAGACUGGGAUAACUUCGGGAAACCGGAGCUAAUACCGGAUAAUAUAUUGAACCGCAUGGUUCAAUAGUGAAAGACGGUUUUGCUGUCACUUAUAGAUGGAUCCGCGCCGCAUUAGCUAGUUGGUAAGGUAACGGCUUACCAAGGCAACGAUGCGUAGCCGACCUGAGAGGGUGAUCGGCCACACUGGAACUGAGACACGGUCCAGACUCCUACGGGAGGCAGCAGUAGGGAAUCUUCCGCAAUGGGCGAAAGCCUGACGGAGCAACGCCGCGUGAGUGAUGAAGGUCUUCGGAUCGUAAAACUCUGUUAUUAGGGAAGAACAAAUGUGUAAGUAACUAUGCACGUCUUGACGGUACCUAAUCAGAAAGCCACGGCUAACUACGUGCCAGCAGCCGCGGUAAUACGUAGGUGGCAAGCGUUAUCCGGAAUUAUUGGGCGUAAAGCGCGCGUAGGCGGUUUUUUAAGUCUGAUGUGAAAGCCCACGGCUCAACCGUGGAGGGUCAUUGGAAACUGGAAAACUUGAGUGCAGAAGAGGAAAGUGGAAUUCCAUGUGUAGCGGUGAAAUGCGCAGAGAUAUGGAGGAACACCAGUGGCGAAGGCGACUUUCUGGUCUGUAACUGACGCUGAUGUGCGAAAGCGUGGGGAUCAAACAGGAUUAGAUACCCUGGUAGUCCACGCCGUAAACGAUGAGUGCUAAGUGUUAGGGGGUUUCCGCCCCUUAGUG
RNAcentral lists this ribosomal RNA (812 nucleotides) under Staphylococcus sp. RNAcentral describes it as "bacterial SSU rRNA". It matches the Rfam family "Bacterial small subunit ribosomal RNA", at positions 51 to 845 of the family's 1533-position model. The record is from RNAcentral. Lineage: Bacteria; Bacillati; Bacillota; Bacilli; Caryophanales; Staphylococcaceae.